AUGAGCUGUACCACUCACCGUGAAGAUCUGCAGCUUCACUUCAGAGCCUAGCGAGACCACAAGCUCACUGAGAGGAACAAACAACUCCAGACGCGCUGUCUUAAGAGCUAUAACACUCACCGCGAAGGUGUGCAGUUUCACUCCUGAGCUAGUGAGACUACGAAGCCACUGGAACGAAGAAACUCCAACCACGUUUGAACAUCAGAAGGGGCAGACUCCAGACGCUUCAUCUUAAGAGCUGUAACACUCACUGUGAAGGUCUGCAGCUUCACUCCUGAGCCAGCGAGACCACGAACCGAUCUGAACAUCAGAAGGGACAGACUCCAGAUGCCCCACCUUAAGAGCUGUAAUACUCACUGCAAGGGUCUGCAGCUUCAUUCUUGAAGUCAGACCAAGAACCCAGCAAUUCCCAACACACAGGGACCAGCUUCUUUCCUAACUCACUUAGGCUCUUCGUGCUGCUCUGGCAACUAACACCCUUGGCUGCAGGGGCUUGGACACUACCCUUAGUCACUGACAAUUGUGUGAAGGCUGCUGUCGUUAACUUCACUUGAUCACCUUAGGCUCCUGUGAAGUGGUGAGCAAUUCAAACAAAUUCCUGUCGUCAAAUCAGGCCUGAGGAACCAAGGAGAGCCCUUGACAGCGGGCAGGAAGAGGAGGAGAAAGAAGUGACUUUUAUUGAGCACCUACUGCAUUCCAAGCACUGCACAAGGCACUGUGUGUACAGAGACACAUAAGAUGCUGUCUCAGUCCUGAAUAGACAUCAGCUAGCAUGAAGAAAUCCCACAAAAACACAGUAUCAAGAAGGAAGAGGAGAAGGUGGAGCCAGAUAGAGAAGGAGGAAAAAUAAACAAACGGAAUUACAGCAAAACAAGGGUAGUGAGAAGGUACGUCAAAGACCAACUACCUGGUGGGGUAUUGGAAGAUUUUAACCACUGUCCAAAGAGGCCCUGACUAUUUCAGUCUCUGGUUCGCCUGCAGAUGCAUUAAGAAGAAAAGAAAGAGCACUUGGAGGAGGGUCCUUUGUGGAAGUCAUGGGGCAGGGUCCCCUGAGGCACCUUGAAAGUAAAGGAGAAACAGCUCUCAGGGACUCAGCUGCAAGUCAUUAGUAACUAAGCGGAACAGCUGUCUUCAGCAAAGCUUGACCUGGAUCCCAGAACUGAAACAGCGGGAGAAACAGAACUCUCACCUUCCUUAACCUGGAUCCCAGAAUUUAAACGGACUGCUUCCCCAACAGCAGGCGAUGGAGUCCCUGAGAUGCCUGCUAAAAAUACAGACCCCUGUUCACAAGGGCCAAGAGGUGGGAGCAACCCAGGUGUGUACGGAUGGAUAAAUGGAUAAGCAAAAUGUGGUCUAGCCAUGCAACGGAAUGUCCUGCAGCCUUGAACAGGAAGGAAAUCUUGACGCGCGCCGCAGCAUGGGGGAGCCGCAAUGAGGACGUUAUGCUAAGCCAGUCACAAGUGCAUGAUUCCACUCAGAGGAAGGACCCAGAGUCGUCAAAUUCAGAGACACAGAUACAGUUAUGGAUUCAUAACAGCAAGAUGGAGAAAUUGCACUGCAGAGAAAUCUUUAAAAGCAAUUACCUAAUACUGCAGAUUGCUGAACUGUACCCACACCCAAGACUGAGCAUUGGAUCAAUCCAGAAUAUACAUCAGGUGUUCUGCAAUGUCUGCCUAAAACCAUGACUCUGCCUCCUCCAGCUGUUGCUACAUCUCACUAUGGGUUUCCUGUGACAUUUUGAGCAAGUAUGCCUCUGUGACUGGGGUUCUUACACUCCAGAAUGGAUGAGAAGCACCGUAAGUGGCUUUUAAAAUGAAUAUUCCCUGGCCGACAACUUCCAAGUUUUUGUUAUUGAAAAUGUGGGGAGAGAACCACGCCUCCUGUGGAGCCGGCCGUGGAAACGCCCUGACAUGGAGUCAGAAGC
RNAcentral lists this long non-coding RNA (1924 nucleotides) under Homo sapiens (human). RNAcentral describes it as "HSALNT0100178". The record is from RNAcentral. Lineage: Eukaryota; Metazoa; Chordata; Mammalia; Primates; Hominidae.